GGAUCCCAUCAGAACUCCACAGUUAAGCGUGCUUGGGCGAGAGUAUUAUUAGGAUGGGU
Molecule: ribosomal RNA, 59 nt
Filed under: Beta vulgaris subsp. maritima
Lineage: Eukaryota; Viridiplantae; Streptophyta; Magnoliopsida; Caryophyllales; Amaranthaceae
Source: RNAcentral